Molecule: ribosomal RNA, 230 nt
Filed under: uncultured microorganism
Description: partial 16S ribosomal RNA
Rfam family: Bacterial small subunit ribosomal RNA
Source: RNAcentral
CACGUAGGAAGCGAGCGUUAUCCGGAUUUACUGGGCGUAAAGCGCGUGCAGGCGGUUUUACAAGUUGGAUGUGAAAGCUCCCGGCUUAACUGGGAGAGGUCGUUCAAGACUGUGAGACUGGAGUGCGAAAGAGGGAGGUAGAAUUCCGAGUGUAGUGGUGAAAUGCGUAGAUAUUCGGAGGAAUACCAGAGGCGAAGGCGGCCUCCUGGUUCGCAACUGACGCUGAGACG